This 1294-nucleotide ribosomal RNA is filed under the name Myroides sp. RNAcentral's name for it is "bacterial SSU rRNA". It matches the Rfam family "Bacterial small subunit ribosomal RNA", at positions 75 to 1371 of the family's 1533-position model. The record is from RNAcentral. Lineage: Bacteria; Pseudomonadati; Bacteroidota; Flavobacteriia; Flavobacteriales; Flavobacteriaceae.
AGAGCUUGCUUUCUAGAGACCGGCGGAUGGGUGAGUAACGCGUAUGCAACCUACCUUUUACAGGGGAAUAGCCCGGAGAAAUUCGGAUUAAUGCUCCAUGGUUUAUAUGAAUGGCAUCGUUUAUAUAAUAAAGAUUUAUCGGUAAAAGAUGGGCAUGCGUAUCAUUAGCUAGUUGGUGUGGUAACGGCAUACCAAGGCUUACAAAUGAUUAGGGGUCCUGAAAGGGAGAUCCCCCACACUGGUACUGAGACACGGACCAAACUCCUACGGGAGGCAGCAGUGAGGAAUAUUGGUCAAUGGAGGCAACUCUGAACCAGCCAUGCCGCGUGCAGGAUGACGGUCCUAUGGAUUGUAAACUGCUUUUGUACGGGAAGAAAUGUAAUUACGAGUAAUUAUUUGACGGUACCGUAAGAAUAAGGAUCGGCUAACUCCGGUGCCAGCAGCCGCGGUAAUACGGAGGAUCCGAGCGUUAUCCGGAAUUAUUGGGUUUAAAGGGUUCGUAGGCGGUUGAGUAAGUCAUGGUGACCAAAUCUUAUAGCUUAACUAUAAAAUUGCCGUUGAUACUGCUUGACUUGAAUAGUAUGGAAGCAAUUCCAAUAUGUAGGUAGCGGGAAAUGUUAGAUAUUACAUGGAAUACCAAUUGCGAAGGCCAGAUUACUACGUACUUAUUGACGCUGAUGAACGAAAGCGUGGGUAGCGAACAGGAUUAGAUACCCUGGUAGUCCACGCCGUAAACGAUGGAUACUAGCUGUUCGGUUUUCGGACUGAGUGGCUAAGCGAAAGUGAUAAGUAUCCCACCUGGGGAGUACGUUCGCAAGAAUGAAACUCAAAGGAAUUGACGGGGGCCCGCACAAGCGGUGGAGCAUGUGGUUUAAUUCGAUGAUACGCGAGGAACCUUACCAAGGCUUAAAUGUAGAUUGACAGGUUUAGAGAUAGACUUUUCUUCGGACAAUUUACAAGGUGCUGCAUGGUUGUCGUCAGCUCGUGCCGUGAGGUGUCAGGUUAAGUCCUAUAACGAGCGCAACCCCUAUUGUUAGUUGCCAGCGGGUCAAGCCGGGAACUCUAACAAGACUGCCGGUGCAAACCGUGAGGAAGGUGGGGAUGACGUCAAAUCAUCACGGCCCUUACGUCUUGGGCUACACACGUGUUACAAUGGCCAGUACAGAAAGCAGCUACCAGGCAACUGGAUGCGAAUCUCAAAAACUGGUCUCAGUUCGGAUUGGAGUCUGCAACUCGACUCCAUGAAGCUGGAAUCGUUAGUAAUCGGAUAUCAGCCAUGAUCCGGUGAAUACGU